RNAcentral lists this transfer RNA (71 nucleotides) under Schistocephalus solidus. It matches the Rfam family "tRNA". From Rfam's summary of the family: Transfer RNA (tRNA) molecules are approximately 80 nucleotides in length. Their secondary structure includes four short double-helical elements and three loops (D, anti-codon, and T loops). The record is from Rfam by way of RNAcentral. Lineage: Eukaryota; Metazoa; Platyhelminthes; Cestoda; Diphyllobothriidea; Diphyllobothriidae.
GCCCAUGGCUCAGUGGCUAGAGCGUUGGACUUCUGGUCAACAGGUUGCGGGUACGAUUCUCGCGUUGGGCA